This 300-nucleotide ribosomal RNA is filed under the name uncultured Alteromonadaceae bacterium. Its description in RNAcentral is "bacterial SSU rRNA". It matches the Rfam family "Bacterial small subunit ribosomal RNA", at positions 116 to 418 of the family's 1533-position model. Lineage: Bacteria; Pseudomonadati; Pseudomonadota; Gammaproteobacteria; Alteromonadales; Alteromonadaceae. The record is from RNAcentral.
CGUGGGAAUCUACCCAGUAGUGGGGGACGAACAGUUGGAACGACUGCUAAUACCGGAUACGCCCUAAGGGGAAAGGCAGGGGAGUCUUCGGACCUUGUGCUAUUGGAUGAGCCCGCGUGAGAUUAGAUAGUUGGUGGGGUAAUGGCCUACCAAGUCGACGAUCUCUAGCUGGUCUGAGAGGAUGAUCAGCCACACUGGAACUGAGACACGGUCCAGACUCCUACGGGAGGCAGCAGUGGGGAAUCUUGCACAAUGGAGGAAACUCUGAUGCAGCGAUGCCGCGUGAGUGAAGAAGGCCCU